GCUGGAGCACACUGAAGCUGGAGCACACUGAAGUGGAAGAUGGGGCUGCAGACAGAGACUGGGCAGCCUCUGCUCCAGGGAGGCCCGAGAGCCAGAGAGCAGAUUCCAUAAGAAGAAUAACUCCCAUUCCUCAUGCAUGAGACCCUCUGCUAAAUGCUUCCUGUGCACCACCUCCAGAAAUCCUCCCAAGCCAGGACACCAGCAGUAUUACAGGAACUGGAUGACAAAAAGAAGAGCCGAUAUAACCAGGAACCUACUCUGGCCACCCCAAGUAAGGAUCUAAAGUCCAGCCUCCUCCUCCACUGCCCUCAAGGCCUUUCCUCAUGAAAGCAGAGGUUCUGAAUGCUGAUUUCUGUUUUAAAGCCCAAUAACUCUUUAAACAUCU
This 385-nucleotide long non-coding RNA is filed under the name Homo sapiens (human). RNAcentral describes it as "non-protein coding LINC01682:12". The record is from RNAcentral. Lineage: Eukaryota; Metazoa; Chordata; Mammalia; Primates; Hominidae.